CACGCCCUAAACGAUGAACACUCGAUGUUGGCGAUAUACGGUCAGCGUCUAAGCGAAAGCGUUAAGUGUUCCACCUGGGGAGUACNUGAUACGCGAGGAACCUUACCCGGGCUUGAAAGUUAGUGAAUGUGGCAGAGACGCCACAGUCCUUCGGGACACGAAACUAGGUGC
This 171-nucleotide ribosomal RNA is filed under the name uncultured bacterium. RNAcentral describes it as "partial 16S ribosomal RNA". The record is from RNAcentral.